UGACUAGAUUGUUGGAUCAGCAGCGGCAC
RNAcentral lists this non-coding RNA (29 nucleotides) under Mus musculus (house mouse). Lineage: Eukaryota; Metazoa; Chordata; Mammalia; Rodentia; Muridae. The record is from RNAcentral.